UGAGAAGGCCAUGAGGAAUACACUCUCUGC
RNAcentral lists this non-coding RNA (30 nucleotides) under Mus musculus (house mouse). The record is from RNAcentral. Lineage: Eukaryota; Metazoa; Chordata; Mammalia; Rodentia; Muridae.